Molecule: ribosomal RNA, 486 nt
Filed under: uncultured bacterium
Lineage: Bacteria
Description: partial 16S ribosomal RNA
Rfam family: Bacterial small subunit ribosomal RNA
Source: RNAcentral
GAUGAACGCUGGCGGCGUGCCUAAUACAUGCAAGUCGAACGCUGGAGCUCUAGCUUGCUAGAUCGAAGGAGUGGCGAACGGGUGAGUAAUACAUAAGCAACCUACCCACGAAGUCUGGGAUAAUCUCUGGAAACGGGGACUAAUACCGGCCAGGUAAUCGGAAGGCAUCUUCUGGUUAUUAAAUGGUAAAAACCCUGGUGGAUGGGCUUAUGGGGCAUUGGUUAGUUGGUGAGGUAACGGCCCAGCAAGACGAUGAUGCGUAGCCGGCCUGAGGGGGUGAACGGCCACAUUGGGACUGAGACACGGCCCAGAAUCCUACGGGAGGCAGCAGUAGGGAAUUUUCGGCAAUGGGGGCAACCCUGACCGAGCAACGCCGCGGGAGUGAAGACGGCCUUCGGGUUGUAAAGCUCUGUUGUAAGGGAAGAACGGUAGAUAGAGAAUAUCUAAGUGACGGUACCUUACCAGAAAGCCACGGCUAACUACGUG